GACGAACGCUGGCGGCACGCUUAACACAUGCAAGUCGAACGAGAGAAGAGAAGCUUGCUUUUCUGAUCUAGUGGCGGACGGGUGAGUAACACGUGAGCAAUCUGCCUUUCAGAGGGGGAUACCGAUUGGAAACGAUCGUUAAUACCGCAUAAUAUAAUUGAACCGCAUGAUUUGAUUAUCAAAGAUUUAUCGCUGAAAGAUGAGCUCGCGUCUGAUUAGCUAGUUGGUAAGGUAACGGCUUACCAAGGCGACGAUCAGUAGCCGGACUGAGAGGUUGAUCGGCCACAUUGGGACUGAGACACGGCCCAGACUCCUACGGGAGGCAGCAGUGGGGAAUAUUGCACAAUGGAGGAAACUCUGAUGCAGCGAUGCCGCGUGAGGGAAGAAGGUUUUAGGAUUGUAAACCUCUGUCUUCAGGGACGAAAAAAGACGGUACCUGAGGAGGAAGCUCCGG
This 454-nucleotide ribosomal RNA is filed under the name uncultured bacterium. RNAcentral's name for it is "bacterial SSU rRNA". It matches the Rfam family "Bacterial small subunit ribosomal RNA", at positions 28 to 496 of the family's 1533-position model. The record is from RNAcentral.